RNAcentral lists this ribosomal RNA (611 nucleotides) under Gordonia sputi. Its description in RNAcentral is "bacterial SSU rRNA". It matches the Rfam family "Bacterial small subunit ribosomal RNA", at positions 46 to 669 of the family's 1533-position model. Lineage: Bacteria; Bacillati; Actinomycetota; Actinomycetes; Mycobacteriales; Gordoniaceae. The record is from RNAcentral.
GCUUAACACAUGCAAGUCGAACGGAAAGGCCCAGCUUGCUGGGUACUCGAGUGGCGAACGGGUGAGUAACACGUGGGUGAUCUGCCCCUGACUUUGGGAUAAGCCUGGGAAACUGGGUCUAAUACCGGAUAUUCAUUUUUCCUCGCAUGGGGAUUUGUGGAAAGCUUUUGCGGUUGGGGAUGGGCCCGCGGCCUAUCAGCUUGUUGGUGGGGUAAUGGCCUACCAAGGCGACGACGGGUAGCCGACCUGAGAGGGUGAUCGGCCACACUGGGACUGAGACACGGCCCAGACUCCURCGGGAGGCAGCAGUGGGGAAUAUUGCACAAUGGGCGCAAGCCUGAUGCAGCGACGCCGCGUGAGGGAUGACGGCCUUCGGGUUGUAAACCUCUUUCAGCUCCGACGAAGCGCAAGUGACGGUAGGAGCAGAAGAAGCACCGGCCAACUACGUGCCAGCAGCCGCGGUAAUACGUAGGGUGCAAGCGUUGUCCGGAAUUACUGGGCGUAAAGAGCUCGUAGGCGGUUUGUCGCGUCGUCUGUGAAAUUCUGCAGCUUAACUGCAGGCGUGCAGGCGAUACGGGCAGACUUGAGUACUACAGGGGAGACUGGAAUUC